This is a long non-coding RNA of Drosophila sechellia, 507 nucleotides long. RefSeq lists it as uncharacterized. The record is from RefSeq and is a predicted model, not a curated record. NCBI's taxonomy places the organism in Eukaryota, Metazoa, Arthropoda, Insecta, Diptera, Drosophilidae. The transcript is spliced from 2 exons.
CCUAUAUUGUAUAUAUUAUCAUUACCAUUUCCCAACGAUUUUGCAAAUAAGAAAAACGCAACACACACACCGCGCGAUUGGCGCUGCACGAAUGAAGAAAACGCAAAGAAGAUCCAACAGCCAAGCCAAAUGGAGUCCACAAACGACCCCCGAGUGUUGUAUACAUGUACGUCCGUGAGUGAGUGUGUGCACAGGAGCUCGGAUAAAAACAACAACUGCCAGCUGUGUGAGCAACACAGUGGAUGUGGAUGCCAUUCGAGAAGUGUUGGGAAAACAUCCGCGCUCAAGGGGUUACAUGGACUUUAACGUCUGAUUAAUGCUGGAUAUGACAGGCUACUGAAGUUCCAUUAUCGAAUAGAAUGUUAUUAAAUAACUUUUAAAAAUGGCGAAACCCCUUUAGAGCAUUGUAACACUUCAACUGGCCAGGAUGUUUUGCAGAAACCCUAGCAAUUGGCGUUGUUAUACACACAUGCAUAUAUACACAAAAUAAAUACAUAUACAUUCACA